GCGGGAAUAGCUCAGUGGUAGAGCACCUCCUUGCCAAGGAGGGGGUCGCGAGUUCGAGCCUCGUUUCCCGCUCCA
RNAcentral lists this transfer RNA (75 nucleotides) under Phascolarctobacterium sp. Its description in RNAcentral is "tRNA-Gly". It matches the Rfam family "tRNA". From Rfam's summary of the family: Transfer RNA (tRNA) molecules are approximately 80 nucleotides in length. Their secondary structure includes four short double-helical elements and three loops (D, anti-codon, and T loops). Further hydrogen bonds mediate the characteristic L-shaped molecular structure. tRNAs have two regions of fundamental functional importance: the anti-codon, which is responsible for specific mRNA codon recognition, and the 3' end, to which the tRNAs corresponding amino acid is attached (by aminoacyl-tRNA synthetases). tRNAs cope with the degeneracy of the genetic code in two manners: having more than one tRNA (with a specific anti-codon) for a particular amino acid; and 'wobble' base-pairing, i.e. permitting non-standard base-pairing at the 3rd anti-codon position. The record is from RNAcentral. Lineage: Bacteria; Bacillati; Bacillota; Negativicutes; Acidaminococcales; Acidaminococcaceae. RNAcentral also lists the same sequence under 3 other names.